GUCGUUUUUGAUCGACUUAUAAAAUAGACCCCUAAAUUAUCGUUUUAUUUUUCCUUCUCGUUAAGAUUUGUCAGAUCAGUGGACAUUCAUCGAAGCCUACGUCGAAGCAUUUGGACCCCUCUACGAUUGCACUAUUGCAAUCCAAAGACUUGACUGUACACUCAGCGAUUAAAUCUUUUUUUUUUUUCUUCGGUCACUGGAUGACAGCUUAUGGACGAGUGGGAUCACUCUCGUCAAAUGUAUUUAAAGAGACCCUACUGGAAGCUAUGGACAGACGAGAAUCAUCACUGUUCAAUAAUUACGCUAUGCAAGCUGCACUAUACUUAGAUCCAAGGUUCUCUUUUCAUGGUUCUACGCUAUUUUUGCCACAGCAAAAAGAAAACAUUGUGAACUACUUUUUGAAGGUGCAUGAAAAAGUCGUUCUGUCUUCCAAGAAAUCUGACUUGGAACCAUCUUGUGAAACCCAUCCUGAGCCUCCUUCUUUGAGCAACUCGUCACCUUCAUCUUCCAAGAGUAUCAAACGAGCCGAUAAUUCAAUAUCGAUUGCUGAAAAUCAGCGAUAACCAAACGAUUUCUCACUUGCUCAUUAUCGA
Molecule: long non-coding RNA, 593 nt
Organism: Aedes aegypti (yellow fever mosquito)
Lineage: Eukaryota; Metazoa; Arthropoda; Insecta; Diptera; Culicidae
Exons: 2
Source: RefSeq, a predicted model, not a curated record